CUGUCUCGGCCCUGUCGGGGGCUCCCCACGCACGGAGUCGGGCCGCCGCCUCACGCCCUUGUCCGGACCCCGGGGGGCCGCAGGACACCAUCAGGCACCGCGGCCGCCCCCACCCCAGGCCUGGGACCGCGCCUCACCCACCGGCCUCCGGGACACAGGGCGGACUCGGCCCGCUGCCGCUGCCCCUGCCGCCGCCGCCAUCGACGCCGUGUCCCGGACCAGGCGGACAGGGUGACGACGCCCCUCGGUCCUCGGCCUGAGGCGUCCGCAGCGAGGCCCCUAAGGCCCGACGGUGCCCUGAGCCGGACGGGCUCUGACUGGAUUCCCAGCCGCGGCCACCGCGCUGGGCCGCCGGGGGGCUCCGAGGGCGCAUGCGCCGGGGGCGCUCCUGCAGCCGGCCUCCCGCAUGCGCAGUGGGGCUCCCGGGCUCCGCGCCGAGCCUUAACCCUUCCAGCCCCGAGGGAGACUAAGGGGGCUUGGAACAGCGCGGCCCGCACUGCGAAGAGCCCCCGGCGGCCACGCACAGGCCGCCUCUGCCAUGUCGGGGGCUCCGGGCGCCCAGAGCCCGGCCGGGCGGGUGGGGCGCGACUUCAGUUCAGAAGCUCCGGAGGCCGCCCCGGUGCGAGCAGCCGCCGCCUCCCGCAGCCGCAGCACCUCGCGCUCCCGCUCCCGCCAGGGCCGGGCCAAGGGAGGAGGGCUCUGGCCGCAGGUAGCGCAGCCGCGGCGGGCGGUGCGCGGGAGGGGCCGAUGGUCUCAAUAAGAAGGUUAGGCUGCCCAAACCUGUUGUCCACACUAACAUCUUUUUCUCCGAGAGCUACCUUGACUCCCGUUUUCCUUCAGCCUGCAUCACCGGGUUUUAUACAAAUGCCUAUGUUCACCAGAAAUAGUCAGUGCUGGAUUGAUGGAAAAUGUAUGCGUCAACCCAGAUUGACCUUACGUGUACAUAUGCAUAUGCAUAUAUGAAGUGCUCAUGCAUUUUGACUAUGAAGAGACCCCCUCCCUGUCUUCCUUAUUCUCUGCACUUGCUUCCUUCAUUCUACAAGGCCAUGGAAAUUUUGUGGACGGAGUGGGAGCGUAAAGUGAUAGAGCCAUCUUGGAAACUUCUCCAGCAGGAGCUUUGGGAGGUAAACUUUAUGAUCUUCAUACUUUCAGAACCAGUAGUUCUGCCCCAGGAUAUAUAGCCAGUGUAUACUCUUCACCAAAAGACUAAAAUAUUUGUAGCAGAGCUGUGUGAUAAACUCCAAAUGAGAAACUCCCAAAUUCUCAUUAAUGAUAGAGUGCUUUGUGUUUAUUCAUACAUUGGAAUGCUAUGUAGCAAAGGGAAUGAAUGAUGUGUAGCUUCUCGUAGCAGCAGGGAUGGAUUUCACGAGUAUGUUGAAUGAAGUAAGGCAGACUCAGAAUACUGUGCUGUAUCUCUUUGUAUGUUUCAUAUGUGCCCUGCUCUAUGGAGUCACAAGUCGGAUAGUGGCAGACCUCUUCACGAUUAGUUUAUACAGUGAUUAAUUGUUCUGAUGGUUUCAGAUAAAACUUCACCUGUAUUCACAGUGACUACUUUAAAUCAGGUGUGCCAAACUCUUGAAAAGGUAAAAUUAAUGUGAAUCUUGUACAAAUGGAAAGCUUAUAUUUUAAGGCCUUUGUGAGUUAGGACAGUUAACUGAUAAAAUCAUUAACAGUAGAGUUCAUUACCAGAUGAUUGAAAACUACAGACUUACAUUUUUUCUAAGGCCUGGCCUGAGAUUAUUACCUUAGGGCGCCUCCUGGCAAACACCCUGAGGCAUGGGGUGUGAUGGUGAAACCAAAGGCUACAGCAUGUGAAAGAGCCACCACGUCCCUGGGCUUUCUGGAAGCCAUAGCCCCGGGAAGUCAGCAGGCAGUAAUAGAACAUCUUUCACUAGCAGAUGUCUCCAGCCAAGUGAGCCUGAUGUGAGGCUGCAGUAGAAUGUGGGUGCCUGGUUGCAGGGGUUCCGAGUUCUGUUGGGCUCUGUUGUCAAAGAAGUGACCUCACUGCCCUACCUGUGUCCACUCUUGGUUGAACCUUCAGUGUUGUCUUUUCACUUUCCCUCUAUCCCUACACUGUGGAGUUUUUUCAUCAAGAAAGGGUGCUGUACUUGGUCAUGUGCUUUUUCUGCAUCUAUUGAGAGGAUCAUAUGGUUCUUGUCCUUCGUUUUAUUUUAUUUUUUUUAAAUAAUUAUUUAUUUAUUUAUGAUAGUCACAAAGAGAGAGAGAGAGAGGCAGAGACACAGGCAGAGGGAGAAGCAGGCUCCAUGCACCGGGAACCCGAUGUGGGAUUCGAUCCCGGGUCUCCAGGAUCGCGCCCCGGGCCAAAGGCUGGCGCCAAACCGCUGCGCCACCCAGGGAUCCCCUGUCCUUCGUUUUAUUGAUGUGAUCUCUCACAUUGAUUGAUUUGCAGAUGAUGAACAACUCUUGCAGCCCAGGAAUAAAUCCCACGACGUGGUGGUGAAUAAUCCUUUUAAUGUACUGUGGGAUCCUGUUAGCUAGUUGUUUGGUGAGAAAUUCUGCAUCCAUGUUCAUCAGGGAUAUUGGCCUAUCAUUCUUUUGUUGUGGGGUUUUUGUCUGGUUUUGGGAUCAAGGUAAUGCUGGCCUUCUAAAAAGAGUUUGGAACUCUUUUCCUAUUUUACUCCAUUUCUAUUUUUUGAAACAGAUUCAGAAGAAUAGGUAGUAUUUCUUUAGAUGUUUAGUAGAAUUCCUCUGGGAAGCCUUUUCUUUGAUCAGGAGGUUAUCGAUCUUAUUCUCUUCAAGCUCACAGGAAUCUCUUAUAAGCAGCAUAUCAGUCUUGUGAUCUUGUGUACAGUCUUUGUUUUCUGUUUCAUCGAUUCCUGCUCAAGUUUAUUAUUUGUCUUCUCUUGCUGGUUUUUGGCUUUUUUUUUGCUGUUCUUUCUCUACCUCCUUUUGGUAUAAGGUUAGGUUGUGUAUUUGAGACCUUCUUGUUUCUUGAGAAGGGCUUGUUGCGGUAUACUUCCUUCUUAGGACUGCCUUAUCUCCCUGCUGACUGUAUUGAACAGUUGUGUUAUUAUUUUCAUUUUCUUCCAUGAAUUUUUAAAAUUCUUCUUUAAUUUCCUUGUUGACCCUUUCAUUCUUUAGUAAGAUGCUGUCUAGCCUCCAUGUAUUGCAGUUCUUUCCAAAUUGCUUCUUCUGAUUGAGUUGCUUCAAAGCACUGUGGUCUGAAAGUACACUGGUCUCCCUGUGCAACACUGGCAAUAGACCUAAAGUACCACGACGUGUAAUUUAAAAGCAUCAGAGUUAGUUUUUGUCCGAAGUUAACUUAUCCUUUAUUACAAACAAAAUGCAUGAAGGAAUUAUAGACGUUGAUGACAACCACAACAAAAAUUAGACAGCGCAAUGAGAGGGGAGGGGAAGCCUUCUGUUGGGGUGCAGCCAUGAUCAGCUGCUGCUUGAGGCAGAGGCUGGCUGCUCCAGUAAGGCAGGUGGAUGCACCGGCCCUUCGAUGAACUCGAGGCCGGGCACUGAGGCCUGCCUCACAUUUUGGAGGGGCCAGGGGUGCAGGCAGCACCUCCAGGUGGGGACAGUGAAUCAGAAGUGUGACCAACACCUGCAGUGGCUUCGACUCAACAGGUGCCAUCUCGGCCCCUGGCAAGCACUCAACUCCAGCAGCCUUGACUGGCUCAAUCACCUCUGGCCCUGAAGCUUCAGCAGGCCCCGUGGUAGGAGCUGGGGCAGGCUGUUGAGGUGGUUUGGGAUCUUGCUCAGGAGCAGAAGCUAGUUGC
RNAcentral lists this long non-coding RNA (3746 nucleotides) under Canis lupus familiaris (dog). RNAcentral describes it as "lncRNA (ENSCAFG00845008766.1)". Lineage: Eukaryota; Metazoa; Chordata; Mammalia; Carnivora; Canidae. The record is from RNAcentral.